CUACGGGUCGCAGCAGUGGGGAAUAUUGCACAAUGGGCGCAAGCCUGAUGCAGCCAUGCCGCGUGUAUGAAGAAGGCCUUCGGGUUGUAAAGUACUUUCAGCGGGGAGGAAGGGAGUAAAGUUAAUACUUUUGCUCAUUGACGUUACCCGCAGAAGAAGCACCGGCUAACUCCGUGCCAGCAGCCGCGGUAAUACGGAGGGUGCAAGCGUUAAUCGGGAUUACUGGGCGUAAAGCGCACGCAGGCGGUUUGUUAAGUCAGAUGUGAAAUCCCCGGGCUCAACCUGGGAACUGCAUCUGAUACUGGCAAGCUUGAGUCUCGGAGAGGGGGGUAGAAUUCCAGGUGUAGCGGUGAAAUGCGUAGAGAUCUGGAGGAAUACCGGUGGCGAAGGCGGCCCCCUGGACGAAGACUGACGCUCAGGUGCGAAAGCGUGGGGAGCAAACAGGAUUAGAUACCCGAGUAGUC
RNAcentral lists this ribosomal RNA (464 nucleotides) under uncultured bacterium. RNAcentral's name for it is "partial 16S ribosomal RNA". It matches the Rfam family "Bacterial small subunit ribosomal RNA", at positions 339 to 795 of the family's 1533-position model. The record is from RNAcentral.